AACGAACGCUGGCGGCAUGCCUAACAUAUGCAAUUCGAACGAAACCUUCGGGUCUAGUGGCGCCCGGGUUCGUAACUCGUGGGAACCUGCCCUUAGGUUCGGAAUAACUCCCCGAAAGGGGUGCUAAUACCGGAUAAUGUCUUCGAACCAAAGAUUUAUCGCCUUUGGAUGGGCCCGCGUUGGAUUAGCUUGUUGGUAUGGUAAAAGCCUACCAAGGCGACGUGCGAUAGCUGGUCUGAGAGAAUCAGCAGCCACACUGGGAGGGAGACACGGCCCAGAAUAUUAGGGGAGGGAGGAGUGGGUAAUACAGGAAAACCGCGGAGGGCAAGAACCAGUAAGGCUGGGUAAGUGAUGAUGUCGGGAGGGUUGUAAAGCACGUUUACACGGGAUGGUAAUGACAGUACCGGGAGAAUAAGCACCGGCUAACUCCGUG
RNAcentral lists this ribosomal RNA (433 nucleotides) under uncultured bacterium. Its description in RNAcentral is "partial 16S ribosomal RNA". It matches the Rfam family "Bacterial small subunit ribosomal RNA", at positions 29 to 507 of the family's 1533-position model. The record is from RNAcentral.